RNAcentral lists this non-coding RNA (92 nucleotides) under Bacteroides stercoris. Its description in RNAcentral is "Bacterial small subunit ribosomal RNA". It matches the Rfam family "Bacterial small subunit ribosomal RNA", at positions 1438 to 1533 of the family's 1533-position model. The record is from Rfam by way of RNAcentral. Lineage: Bacteria; Pseudomonadati; Bacteroidota; Bacteroidia; Bacteroidales; Bacteroidaceae.
ACCGCGAGGAGCGUCCUAGGGUAAAACUGGUGAUUGGGGCUAAGUCGUAACAAGGUAGCCGUACCGGAAGGUGCGGCUGGAACACCUCCUUU